This 1432-nucleotide ribosomal RNA is filed under the name uncultured bacterium. Its description in RNAcentral is "bacterial SSU rRNA". It matches the Rfam family "Bacterial small subunit ribosomal RNA". The record is from RNAcentral.
AGAGUUUGAUCAUGGCUCAGAACGUACGCUGGCGGCACGCCUAACACAUGCAAGUCGAACGCAGUAGCAAUACUGAGUGGCAAACGGGUGAGUAUAAUGUGGGAAUCUGCCUUUUGGUUUGGAAUAACACGGGGAAACUUGUGCUAAUACCGAAUAAGCCCUUACGGGGAAAGUUUUAAUGCCGAAAGAUGAGCCCGCACUUGAUUAGCUAGUUGGUAAGGUAAAAGCUUACCAAGGCAAUGAUCAAUAGCUGUUCUUAGAGGAAGACCAGCCACAUUGGGACUGAGACACGGCCCAGACUCCUACGGGAGGCAGCAGUGGGGAAUCUUGCACAAUGGGGGAAACCCUGAUGCAGCGAUGCCGCGUGAGUGAAGAAGGCCUUUGGGUUGUAAAACUCUUUCGUCGGGGAAGAAAAUGACUGUACCCGAAUAAGAAGGUCCGGCUAACUUCGUGCCAGCAGCCGCGGUAAUACGAAGGGACCUAGCGUAGUUCGGAAUUACUGGGCUUAAAGAGCUCGUAGGUGGUUAAAAAAGUUGAUGGUGAAAUCCCAAGGCUCAACCUUGGAACUGCCAUCAAAACUUUUUAGCUAGAGUGUGAUAGAGGUAAGUGGAAUUUCUAGUGUAGAGGUGAAAUUCGUAGAUAUUAGAAAGAACACCAAAUGCGAAGGCAACUUACUGGGUCACUACUGACACUGAGGAGCGAAAGCAUGGGUAGCGAAGAGGAUUAGAUACCCUCGUAGUCCAUGCCGUAAACGAUGUGUGCUAGACGUUGGAAAUAUAUUUUUCAGUGUCGCAGCGAAAGCGUUAAGCACACCGCCUGGGGAGUACGACCGCAAGGUUAAAACUCAAAUGAAUUGACGGGGACCCGCACAAGCAGUGGAGCAUGUGGUUUAAUUCGAAGAUACGCGCAGAACCUUACCAACACUUGACAUGUUCGUCGCGAGCCUAAGAGAUUAGGCUUUUCAGUUCGGCUGGACGAAACACAGGUGCUGCGUGGCUGUCGACAGCUCGUGUCGUGAGAUGUUGGGUUAAGUCCCGCAACGAGCGCAACCCCUAUCUUUAGUUGCCACCAUUAAGUUGGGCACUUUAAAGAGACUGCCAGUGAUAAGCUGGAGGAAGGCGGGGAUGACGUCAAGUCCUCAUGGCCCUUAUGUGUUGGGCUACACACGUGCUACAAUGGCACUUACAAUGGGAAGCAAAGAGGCGACUCUAAGCCAAUCCCUAAAAUGUGCCUCAGUUCGGAUUGUACUCUGUAACUCGAGUGCAUGAAGCUGGAAUUGCUAGUAAUCGCGGAUCAGCGCGCCGCGGUGAAUACGUUCCCGGGUCUUGUACACACCGCCCGUCACACCAUGGAAGUUGGUUACACCUUAAGGCAAAGCUUAUACCUUUGACUACGGUACGAUCAGCAACUGGGGUGAAGUCGUAACAAGGUA